Molecule: ribosomal RNA, 435 nt
Filed under: Schizoprymnus sp. 1 BJS-2011
Lineage: Eukaryota; Metazoa; Arthropoda; Insecta; Hymenoptera; Braconidae
Description: eukaryotic LSU rRNA
Rfam family: Eukaryotic large subunit ribosomal RNA
Source: RNAcentral
CCUAAAGGCGUAAUGAAAGUAAAGAUUAUCCUUGCGAUAAUUAAGGGAGGAUGAGUUGUGUUACGAUGCUACUCCGCACUCCCGGGGCGUCUCGUUCUUAUUACAAGAAGAGGCGCACCCAGAGCGUACACGUUGGGACCCGAAAGAUGGUGAACUAUGCCUGGUCAGGAUGAAGUCAGGGGAAACCCUGAUGGAGGUCCGUAGCGAUUCUGACGUGCAAAUCGAUCGUCGGAACUGGGUAUAGGGGCGAAAGACUAAUCGAACCAUCUAGUAGCUGGUUCCCUCCGAAGUUUCCCUCAGGAUAGCUGGCACUCSUUUGAACGAGUCUCAUCUGGUAAAGCGAAUGAUUAGAGGCCUUGGGGCCGAAACNACCUCAACCUAUUCUCAAACUUUAAAUGGGUGAGAUCUCUGGCUUGCUUGAAUAUAUGAAGCCAC